GACGAACGCUGGCGGCGUGCCUAAUACAUGCAAGUCGAACGCUUCUUUCCUCCCGAGUGCUUGCACUCAAUUGGAAAGAGGAGUGGCGGACGGGGGGUUACCACGUGGUUAACCUACCCACCGGAGGGGGUAACCACUGGGAACAAGGGGCUAUUACCGAAAACAGGUUUAUGCCGCAUGCCAUAGGAUUGAAGGGGCCUUUGGGGUGUGCUGGAGGGUUGGACCGCGGUGCAUUAGCUAGUUGGUGAGGUAACGGCUCACCAAGGCCACGAUGCAUAGCCGACCUGAGAGGGUGAUCGGCCACACUGGGACUGAGACACGGCCCAGACUCCUACGGGAGGCAGCAGUAGGGAAUCUUCGGCAAUGGACGAAAGUCUGACCGAGCAACGCCGCGUGAGUGAAGAAGGUUUUCGGAUCGUAAAACUCUGUUGUUAGAGAAGAACAAGGACGUUAGUAACUGAACGUCCCCUGACGGUAUCUAACCAGAAAGCCACGGCUAACUACGUG
RNAcentral lists this ribosomal RNA (507 nucleotides) under uncultured bacterium. RNAcentral describes it as "partial 16S ribosomal RNA". It matches the Rfam family "Bacterial small subunit ribosomal RNA", at positions 28 to 507 of the family's 1533-position model. The record is from RNAcentral.